This 253-nucleotide ribosomal RNA is filed under the name uncultured bacterium. RNAcentral's name for it is "partial 16S ribosomal RNA". It matches the Rfam family "Bacterial small subunit ribosomal RNA", at positions 524 to 776 of the family's 1533-position model. The record is from RNAcentral.
UACGUAGGGUGCAAGCGUUAAUCGGAAUUACUGGGCGUAAAGCGUGCGCAGGCGGUUAUGUAAGACAGGUGUGAAAUCCCCGGGCUUAACCUGGGAACUGCAUUUGUGACUGCAUAGCUAGAGUACGGCAGAGGGGGAUGGAAUUCCGCGUGUAGCAGUGAAAUGCGUAGAUAUGCGGAGGAACACCGAUGGCGAAGGCAAUCCCCUGGGCCUGUACUGACGCUCAUGCACGAAAGCGUGGUGAGCAAACAGG